AACCUGAAGCAACAUAUUUUAGGCGCUUUCUGCUCAAUGAUUGUUAAAUAGCCGCAGUACCCUGACUGUGCAAAGGUAGCAUAAUAAUUUGGCUUUUAAUUGGAGUCUGGUAUGAAUGAAAAAAUGGGGAGAUGCUGUGUCAGUUAAAUGUAUUUAAUUUAAUUAGAAGGUGAAAAUGCCUUCGCUUAUAUAAUAGACGAGAAGACCCUUGAAAUUUGAGAUAUUAAUUUUGUUGGGGCGACAAAGUAGCAUGGUAAACCUACUUUUUCAAUAUGUAUUAGUAUUUAAAGAGAAAUAAAAUUACUCAAGGGAUAACAGCAUAAUUAUAAGUAGUUUGUGACCUCGAUGUUGGAUUAGGAAUAUCUAGCCCAGAAGGUCAAGAUUUUUGCUCUGUUCGAGCGGUUUUUCCU
Molecule: ribosomal RNA, 410 nt
Filed under: Satsuma sp. SPW-2007
Lineage: Eukaryota; Metazoa; Mollusca; Gastropoda; Stylommatophora; Camaenidae
Description: partial 16S ribosomal RNA
Rfam family: Bacterial large subunit ribosomal RNA
Source: RNAcentral